UGCAAGUCGUGCGGACCUUUUAAAAGCUUGCUUUUAAAAGGUUAGCGGCGGACGGGUGAGUAACACGUGGGCAACCUGCCUGUAAGAUCGGGAUAACGCCGGGAAACCGGGGCUAAUACCGGAUAGUUUUUUCCUCCGCAUGGAGGAAAAAGGAAAGGCGGCUUCGGCUGCCACUUACAGAUGGGCCCGCGGCGCAUUAGCUAGUUGGCGGGGUAACGGCCCACCAAGGCAACGAUGCGUAGCCGACCUGAGAGGGUGAUCGGCCACAUUGGGACUGAGACACGGCCCAAACUCCUACGGGAGGCAGCAGUAGGGAAUCUUCCGCAAUGGACGAAAGUCUGACGGAGCAACGCCGCGUGAGUGAAGAAGGCCUUCGGGUCGUAAAACUCUGUUGCCGGGGAAGAACAAGUGCCGUUCGAACAGGGCGGCGCCUUGACGGUACCCGGCCAGAAAGCCACGGCUAACUAC
This 468-nucleotide ribosomal RNA is filed under the name uncultured bacterium. RNAcentral describes it as "bacterial SSU rRNA". It matches the Rfam family "Bacterial small subunit ribosomal RNA", at positions 56 to 504 of the family's 1533-position model. The record is from RNAcentral.